Long non-coding RNA from Neofelis nebulosa (Clouded leopard), 2642 nucleotides. RefSeq lists it as uncharacterized. The transcript has 2 exons. The record is from RefSeq and is a predicted model, not a curated record. Lineage: Eukaryota; Metazoa; Chordata; Mammalia; Carnivora; Felidae.
AUGUUGUGAAACCAUCUCCUCUAUUCCAUUCCAAAAUAAUUUGCAUUAACUCUGAAGGAGACCCCAAACCCAUUAAGCAGUCACUACCAAUUUUUCCCUUUUACUGGUUCCUAGCAAUGACUAAUCUGCUUUGUCUCCAUGGAAUUAUCCAAUUUAGAUAUUUCAUAUAAAUGGAAUCAUGCAAUAUGUGACCUUUCAUGUUUGGCUUCUUUCACUUAGCAUAAUAUAUUCAAGGUCCAUUCACAUUGUAGUAUGUAUAGUAUUUCAUUCCUUUUUAUGGCUGAAUAAUAUUUAAUUGUAUGCCCAUAUUGUAUUCUGUUUAGCCAUUCAAUAUUGAUGGAUAUUUGGGUUAUUUCCAUGUUUCUACCAUUAUAAGCGCUGCCUUAAACACUUCUGUAUAAGUGUUUGUGUGGGUGUAUGUUUUUAUUUCUCUUGGGUAAUAUUUAAGAAUGGAAUUGCUGGGUCAUGUGGUAAUUCCAUGUAAAACUUUUUCAGGAACUGCCAAACUAUUCCACAGUGGCUGCAACAUUUUGCACUCCUACCACCAAUAUAUUAGGGUUCCAAUUGCUCUCCAUUCUCAAAGACAACUGUUAAUUUUCACAUUUUUUAUUUUUGCAUUUUCCUAAUGACUAAUAAUAUUAAGCAUCUUUUCUUGUAUUUAUCAGAUAUUUAUCGAUCUUCUUUGGAGAAAUAUCUAUUCAAGACCCUUUUCCAUUUUUUAAAUUGGCUUGCUUGUCAUUUUCUUAUUGAAUUAUAACAGUUCUUCAUAUAUUCUGGAUACAAAACCCUUUUCAGAUAUAUGAUUUGCAAAUAUUUUCUUCCAUUCUGUGGAUUGCUUUUUUACUUUCUUGAAAGUGUCUUCUUAUCCACAGAAGUUUUUAAUUUUUAUGAAGUCCAAUUUAUAUGUUUUCUUUUUGUUGUUCUUCUUUUUGAUGUCAUAUCUAAAACUUCAUUGCCAAAUUCAAGGACAUGAAGAUUUAUACCUUUGUUUUCUUUCAAGAGUUUUAAAGUUUAUCUCAUAUAUUUAGCUCUUUGAUACAUUUUGAGUUAAUUUUUGUAUAUUGUGUGAGUUUAUUUUUGUAAAUGACUUUAUACAAUUUAAAGGUUCUUUUGAUUGCAGAACACAACACACUGUCACAAAAAUAGAUAGAAGGCAGAACCCUUUGUUACUUAUAGCUCCAAAAGAGAGAAAGUUAGUUGCCAAGCAGAGCUACAGGCAUUACACCUGGAUAACAGCUAGUUGGAUCUCUCAAGGGCAGUUUAUGUAUUACAAAUUAGGUGGGGCUAGCUACAUUUUUCUGGAUCUUUGAAGAUUGGCUAAUUUGAAUAAUUUCUCAGGCUCCAGGGCAUAGGGGCUGUUCUUAGUUGUCUGGAACCUGGCCCAUGGGCAAAUAGGGCUGGUGCAUAGUGUCCCAGAGUGUGAAUGCAUGAUCUGGGAAGUGGUAGAAGUGUAUACUUUAUCACCUGUUCAUGAAGGGCAACUAACCAGCCUCUAGCCAGGGCCUCACAAUUGACUCGACAGCAUUUUUACAAAAAAAAAAAUAAAAAAAUAAAAUAAAAAUAAAAAAGAUGAUGUAGUUGAUGACUAGAUGUCUUGACAUCCAUCUUGAACUCCAUUGUUGGGAUAUUUGAGUGGCUCAAAUAGUAAAAAAGAUUUACAAAGAGCAGGACAUAAGUUGCCCUAAACAACAUAAAAGACCUUUUAUUAUGAGAAUAAAAAGGAAGAAAACAAGUAGAAGAAUAAGAAGUUCUUAUAGGCCAGACAUAACCAAGGGAGAUGAGGGGUGGUCUAGGAGGUAGUUGCCUCAUGAGGCAAGCAAUAAUCUCCAUUAAUUUUUAAAAUGGCAUUAAUAGUCGUAACUUCUACAAGAUUUCCCCUUUAGAUAUGGAAGUGUAGAAGUAUACAGUAUACCUUUUGGCAGAGAGAAAAACAUAUACCAGGGUCAUGAACUAAAUAAAUAAUGAACUGAAGAAAUGUAAUAGAAUCCCCAAUAUCAAAGAAAGAAAAACAAUAAAUAUAUUGCGUUCAAUUUGUCAGUAUUUUUGGAAAGACAGCAUAUAGGCAUUGUUGAAACGAUGGUCUCAGUGUCUGGGGUGAAGUCUUCCCCUGUUUAGAGAGCAAAGUCAUCUCCAAUGUAAGAUCUUUGACUGGGACCAUGUUAUUUGAAGAAACAUCAUUUCCAGUGGCAAGCUUCUGGAUUGGGGUGAUGUCAUCUAGGAUGUGGGACUGUGGUAUUAUUUCCAAGUAGAUACCUACUCGGGUUGAUGCGAGUCAUGUUUUCAUGGUUCUGGUAUUAUAAGGAGGCUGGGAUGUGUGUGGACUCUAAAGGCAAUGUUGGGCCUGGAAGACUGACUUGCAAAUUUCUUUUUUAAUUAUGAUAAGUUAUCAUAAUACAAAAUUUUCCUUCUUAACCAUUUUUUAGUACACAUAUCAGUGGCAUUAAGUAUACUCGCAUUGUUGUGCAACCAUCACCACCAUCCAUCUCCAGAAAUUUCUUUGUCUCCCCAAACUGAAAUUUUGUACCCAUUAAACUAACUCCCCUUGCCCCACUCUCUUUAUGCCCUGGCAAGCACCAUUCUGCUUUCUGUCCCUAAGUGUUUGACUACUUUAGGUAUUUUGAAUAAAUGAAAUCACGAAUCUU